This 253-nucleotide ribosomal RNA is filed under the name uncultured bacterium. Its description in RNAcentral is "partial 16S ribosomal RNA". It matches the Rfam family "Bacterial small subunit ribosomal RNA", at positions 524 to 776 of the family's 1533-position model. The record is from RNAcentral.
UACGGGGGGUACUAGCGUUGAUCGGAUUGACUGGGCGUAAAGGGUGCGUAGGCGGCUUGAAAAGUCUGACGUGAAAUCCCGUGGCUUAACCACGGAACUGCGGCGGAAACUUUCAGGCUAGAGGGUGGUAGGGGAAAGCGGAAUUCUGCAUGUAGCGGUGAAAUGCGUAGAUAUGCAGAGGAACACCGGUGGCGAAGGCGGCUUUCUGUCCCACUCCUGACGCUGAGGCACGAAAGCGUGGGGAUCAAACAGG